This 896-nucleotide ribosomal RNA is filed under the name marine metagenome. RNAcentral describes it as "bacterial SSU rRNA". It matches the Rfam family "Bacterial small subunit ribosomal RNA", at positions 208 to 1120 of the family's 1533-position model. The record is from RNAcentral.
GCUUUAUGCGCCAAUGGAUGAGCCCGCACUUGAUUAGUUAGUUGGCAGGGUAAUGGCCUACCAAGACUUUGAUCAAUAGCUGAUUUGAGAGGAUGAUCAGCCACAUUGGGACUGAGACACGGCCCAAACUUCUACGGGAGGCAGCAGUAGGGAAUCUUGCACAAUGGAGGAAACUCUGAUGCAGCGAUGCCGCGUGAGUGAAGAAGGCCUUUGGGUUGUAAAGCUCUUUCGUCGGGGAAGAAAAUGACUGUACCCGAAUAAGAAGGUCCGGCUAACUUCGUGCCAGCAGCCGCGGUAAUACGAAGGGACCUAGCGUAGUUCGGAAUUACUGGGCUUAAAGAGUUCGUAGGUGGUUAAAAAAGUUGGUGGUGAAAUCCCAGAGCUUAACUCUGGAACUGCCAUCAAAACUUUUUAGCUAGAGUAUGAUAGAGGAAAGCAGAAUUUCUAGUGUAGAGGUGAAAUUCGUAGAUAUUAGAAAGAAUACCAAUUGCGAAGGCAGCUUUCUGGAUCAUUACUGACACUGAGGAACGAAAGCAUGGGUAGCGAAGAGGAUUAGAUACCCUCGUAGUCCAUGCUGUAAACGAUGUGUGUUAGACGUUGGAAAUUUAUUUUCAGUGUCGCAGCGAAAGCGAUAAACACACCGCCUGGGGAGUACGACCGCAAGGUUAAAACUCAAAUGAAUUGACGGGGACCCGCACAAGUAGUGGAGCAUGUGGUUUAAUUCGAAGAUACGCGCAGAACCUUACCAACACUUGACAUGUUCGUCGCGACUCUAAGAGAUUAGAGUUUUCGGUUCGGCCGGACGAAACACAGGUGCUGCAUGGCUGUCGUCAGCUCGUGUCGUGAGAUGUUGGGUUAAGUCCCGCAACGAGCGCAACCCUCACUUUUAGUUGCCA